AUGGACAUACCUGUCUCUGCUCCACUCGCUUUUGCAGGAAAGUAUGUGGCCACUCCGGCUAUAUCUUUCUUGGUCAGCAAGGCUUUCAGCUACAUCAAUGAAUACUUCAAAUCCGAAGACAUGGAUGAGUUGAAGAACCGGCUCCUGCUGGCCAUGCCACACAUCCAAGCGGUGUUUGAUGUCGUCAAGCCGGAACUUGUCAGGGAGCAAAGCAGCGCCCUAGAGGCAUGGCUCUGGCAGCUCAGGGAUGUAGUCGAGGCUGCAGAAGACGCCAUCGACGAGCUUGAAUACUACGAGCUCGAGGCCAAGGCCAAGGACCGAAAGGUUAGUGAGUGGGGUUCUCCUUUUGAUAAGAUGAACCACAAGCUUGUUAGAUCCGUUCAGAUUGGACCUGUCUUCAACAAGACUCACAAGAAAUCUACUCAUGGUGACACCGUCAAGAGAUUGAUGAAAUUUGUGCAUGAAUUAGACAAGGCCGCUGCAGGUGUGGUCAGUUUCCUCACUCUCACAGACCAUCUCAGUGGGCGCUCUUCUAGCACCAGCAGCCAACAACAAGUGCCGAAGCUGGUGAAAAAUGAUCGCCAGACGGGUUCGACAUUAAGUGCAACCAAAUUUGUUGGACGAGAAAAGGAGAAAGAAAAGAUUAUUGGAUGGUUGAUGAACACGCCAGUUCAAUUAGCAGAAACUGAGACUGGGGUGACAAUGAUCAACAAUAUUCCCAUUAUUUCAGUGGUCGGUCAUGGUGGCAUGGGGAAGACUACUUUGGCUCAGAGUAUAUGCGAACAAGAUGAGGUACGGAAGCAUCUUAAGAUCAUUUGGAUUACUGUGUCUGCUAGCUUUGAUGCGACAUCAGUGACAAGUAAAAUACUGGAAUGUGUUACAGGCGCAAAACCAAACACUGAUAAUUUGGAACCACUACAACAGUAUCUCAAAGAGAAACUCAAGUCUAUUAAGUUUUUGCUAGUUUUGGAUGACGUUUGGGAAGAUAAGAAAAGAGAUGAAUGGGAGAAGUUAUUUGCUCCUAUGAGAAAACUGAACACCGCUGGGAGCAAAAUUUUGUUGACAACCCGAAUGCAAUCUGUAGCGUACAUGGCAGCAAUAGUGAUGGGAGUCAAAAUGGAUCAGUGUUUGACAUUAAAAGGAUUGGAAGAAGAUGAAAAUCUUGAGCUCUUCAUUCAUCAUGCUUUUUCCAGGUUGAAUGCGGGAGACCAUGUAUAUGCAAAAUUAAUUGGAGAACGAAUUUCAAAGAAACUAAGAGGAUGUCCAUUGGUAACAAAGGUUGUCGGGGAGCAUUUGCAAGAUAACAUAUCACUUGAAUACUGGAGCAGAUUCUUGCAUCAAGGACUGGAACAUUUCAAAGGAGCCGAAGAAGACAUUAUGAAGGUUCUUAGAUUAAGCUACUACCACCUGCCAACAGAGCUACAAAUUUGCUUUCGAUAUUGUUGCAUCUUUCCGCGAGACUAUGAAUUUGAAAAGAAAGAACUAGUGCAAUUGUGGAUUGGUUCAGGAUUGAUCUCAGAGUUUGCAAGUGACACUCAAACUUUGGAGGUUACUGCAGAAUUGUUCUUGUCUCAGCUAACUAGAAAGUCAUUUUUUGAUCUGAAAUCCAAAUCUAGUGCGUUGAAACAAGAAAGUUAUGUAAUGCAUGAUUUGAUGCAUGAAUUAGCAAAGAAUGUGUCCAUUGGUGAAUGUGCAAAAAUAGAUGAUCCUGUCCAGCUUAAAGAUGAAAAGGAUACACUCCGUCACCUAUGCAUUGUCAAUAUUCAUAGUUUCUCUGCUGAUGAGAUCAAAAGAUUCUCGCAUUUUAAGAAUCUGCGCACUAUUAUCAUUUAUAAUGAAUGCGAGGUUGGAAAUGACGUUGUUUGUGCUGUUGAAAUGGUUGUUGAGAGCUCAAAAUCUUUGCGUCUAUUUCAUUCAGAAUUGAGAAACACAUUCUCUUUUGCUGACAAGUUUGCUAGCCUGAAACAUCUUCGUUAUAUCUACUUGCAUCAAAUAUCACCAGACACAAUAUGUGGGGUUGCCAAACUAUAUCACUUGAUGGUACUUCGAUGUGGUAUGGGUUUGGAGACUGAAACAUAUGAAGUGAGAUACUUAGGGAACCUUGAACGCUUGAGAUAUGUAUCAUAUGGAGUGCAUGGAUUUGGUUGUUUCGGCAUAAGCAGGCUCACUUCUCUUCAGGAAUUACAUGACUACCAGGUAGGAGGAAGAAUAUGCAAUGAAAUAAGUGCAAUUGGGAGCUUAAGAGAUCUCCGUGAAUUGGGUGUUCAGGGUCUUGAGAAUGUUAGGAAUUAUGAAGAAGCUAAGAAUGCCAAGUUGAAGGAGAAACAACAUCUUGACGAGUUAUAUCUAGAGUGGUCGAAAUCUGAGCAAAUCAUGACAGAUGGCUUGAUUCUUGACCACCUUGAGCCACAUGCUAAUAUAAAGGUAUUGCAAAUUCAGGGUUAUGAGGGUCCCAGGGUUCCAUUUUGGAUUGAGAAUCGCUCUGUCAAAAACCUGGUAUCUCUCAGGUUGAUAAGCUGUAUAAAUUGGGAAUACCUUCCCUCUCUCGGUGAGUUAGAAUUGUUGAAGCUUCUAAUGUUGGACCACCUUCCUAAGCUACGGCAGAUUGGUCGACCAUCUGAUAUGUCCAGUAACUCCAUGGAGUUGUUGUUACCUCAGAGCCUUGAUACUUUGGUAGUAAUUGAGUGCCGAAAAUUGAGGGAAUUACCUAUUCUACCUCCAAGCCUAGUAUCAUUGCAAAUACGACAUGUUUGGCUGACCAAACUUCCUAUGAUUGGCAAGAUAUCAAGUGAGAGCAUUGAGUCCAAAUCAUCUAAGUUGACAGAGAUAAUUAUCACCGGCUGUCCAUGUUUAACUUCGCUGGAAGGGAGCCUUUUGGAGCAAAAACUGUACAUGGGAGCUCUCCGUGUCCUAAAAGUUGAUGAUUGUAUACAGCUGGAGUCUGCGUCCAUACCAUUUGAAGAAAUGAAAGAACUUAAGGAGCUGAAAGUAAAGACAUGUCCAAAGUUGAGGACGACGAGAGAUGCAAGAGAUAAGCUCGUGCCAUUGUCACUCCGGGAAUUAACAAUUGCCCAGUGUGGUGAUCUGGAACUUUCACUACUUGGGUCACUACAGCUGCUCACCAACUUAUCUCGGCUCGAGCUGGAGAACUGCUCGAGCCUGGUAUCUCUCCCCUCCAUGGAUGUGUUCAAGAGUCUCGGAUCCCUGCGGAUCAUUUACAUAGAUGGAUGCGAGAACCUCUCAUCCCUGGGAGGACUCGGAUCACUUCCAUUUCUCAUCUGGUUAAGUAUCGUCGGGUGCAGUAAACUCACGGAGGCUGUUGGGACCUCACUAACUCGAGUUGCAUCUGGUUUUGGUUCUGGUGGUGAGGAAGAGCAACUGGUGGAGACCGGCAGCUCACUGCAGAUAUGUUCUCUUAAAAUUGAUUUGCCGUCCUUGCUGCUUCUUGAGCCGCUCAAGAGUCUGUGCCACACUGAAUAUUUAGACAUUAGUAAUGGGUCAGAGAUGGAGAGCUUACCUGAGCGAUGGCUGCUACAGAACCGCACAUCCCUCCAAGGCCUGGAUAUAACCAAAGCAGAUUCCUUGAGAUCGCUCCCACCGAGCAUGCAAGACCUCUGCUCUCUCAAGGAACUAUGGCUAUUUGGUGCUGGGCAACUCCGGUCACUUCCAUAUCUGCCCUCCUCCUUGAAAAAGCUGAACAUUACGGGAUGUCAUCCGGAGCUGGAGAAGGAGAUCAUAACACAUGGAAGCCCUGAAUGGAACAAGAUCUCCCACAUCCCUUAUGCGACAAUAGGAGAUUGGUAUUUCGUCAUGGACAAGAAAUUCAGGGAAGGGGCUUUGAUCACAUCCAACUAA
RNAcentral lists this ribosomal RNA (3855 nucleotides) under Triticum aestivum (bread wheat). Its description in RNAcentral is "partial small subunit ribosomal RNA". Lineage: Eukaryota; Viridiplantae; Streptophyta; Magnoliopsida; Poales; Poaceae. The record is from RNAcentral.